This 404-nucleotide ribosomal RNA is filed under the name uncultured bacterium. Its description in RNAcentral is "bacterial SSU rRNA". It matches the Rfam family "Bacterial small subunit ribosomal RNA", at positions 355 to 775 of the family's 1533-position model. The record is from RNAcentral.
UGAGGAAUAUUGCACAAUGGGCGCAAGCCUGAUGCAGCAACACCGCGUGCGGGACGAAGGCCUUCGGGUCGUAAACCGCUUUUCUGGGGAAAGAGCAAGGACGGUACCUCAGGGAUAAGUCUCGGCUAACUACGUGCCAGCAGCCGCGGUAAAACGUAGGAGGCGAGCGUUAUCCGGAUUUACUGGGCGUAAAGCGCACGCAGGCGGCUCUGUGAGUCGGACGUGAAAGCUCCAGGCUUAACCGGGAGAGGCCGUUCGAUACUGCGGGGCUUGAGGUAGGGAGAGGAAUGCGGAAUUCCCGGUGUAGUGGUGGAAUGCGUAGAUAUCGGGAGGAACACCUGUGGCGAAAGCGGCAUUCUGGCCCUCACCUGACGCUGAGGUGCGAAAGCGUGGGUAGCAAACAG